CGGGCUGUAGUAUAAUGGUAGUAUGCACCCUUGGGGUGGGUGUGACCCGGGUCCGAUUCCCGGCAGCCCGA
Molecule: transfer RNA, 71 nt
Filed under: Patescibacteria group bacterium
Lineage: Bacteria
Description: tRNA-Pro
Rfam family: tRNA
About the family: Transfer RNA (tRNA) molecules are approximately 80 nucleotides in length. Their secondary structure includes four short double-helical elements and three loops (D, anti-codon, and T loops). Further hydrogen bonds mediate the characteristic L-shaped molecular structure. tRNAs have two regions of fundamental functional importance: the anti-codon, which is responsible for specific mRNA codon recognition, and the 3' end, to which the tRNAs corresponding amino acid is attached (by aminoacyl-tRNA synthetases). tRNAs cope with the degeneracy of the genetic code in two manners: having more than one tRNA (with a specific anti-codon) for a particular amino acid; and 'wobble' base-pairing, i.e. permitting non-standard base-pairing at the 3rd anti-codon position.
Source: RNAcentral